UAGGGCUGGGUAUCGAAUUUCGAUCCGGUUAUGGCACCGACCGAAAUGCUCCGAUCCUAUCGAAUAUCAAAACAUUAAUAGUUUUCCGGUGCCGUAUUUCGAUACUCAAUGAAAUUAAUCCCAGCCUGUCUGCCAAUAGUAAUAUCGUUUUCAACUGUUUCUGGGUAAAUGCUACGUCUGUGAGCCAAUAAUCAUGUGGUAUUAGUGGUUACGAAUCUUAAGUCGCUGGUGAUUGGCUGUCACAUUUUCGGAGCGCGAGACACGUUUGUCUACUUGACCGUCACUAUAUCAAACUUUGUCAGCUGUAACGUCACUCUUGACGUUGUCAUAAUGCCUAAAAGGUCCAAAGUGUGGCUCCACUUCGCUCAGGUGGACACCAAUAGAGCCAGAUGCUCUAUUUGCCAAAAAGUCGUGCUGGCGAAAGACGGCAACACAUCAAAUCUUGCGAAACAUUUAAUAAUGCACAAGAUUAACCUCCGGUCGGACAGCUGCUCCGUGUUUGACUGUAAAGCUAAGAAAGCUAAGAAGGACGACGGGACUUCAGUCACCAGACCGCCUCCUUCUUCCACAUCGAAUUCUCUAUCGGCUAGUGACCGGGAUUCAGCUGGGAGUUUGGCCAACAACAUUACAGCAGGUGGACGAUGGGGACAGCUCAUGCGAUGAAGCCAGUUCAGCUGCAACAGAGAAACUGACAAAGCUGUCUGCGCUGGAGGAGUUGUUCAUGGAUGAGGACAUAGAGGUGGGAGAGCGGAAUUACCCAAUUGCGAGCCAAAGGGAUAAGGUGAAAGAAGAAAUCCGCCACUACAGAGGUUUGCCAUCAACUUUGUCAACUGUUGAUCCAGUGACCUGG
Gadus morhua (Atlantic cod) is the source of this 850-nucleotide long non-coding RNA. RefSeq lists it as uncharacterized. Lineage: Eukaryota; Metazoa; Chordata; Actinopteri; Gadiformes; Gadidae. The record is from RefSeq and is a predicted model, not a curated record. The transcript is spliced from 3 exons.